UACUCAUUAUCCAAAAGAAUGCGUAUCUAUUGACAAUUCGAACAUCAUUCCGUCGGGAUGCGCUUCGAUUUUAUGCCUUUUUUUCUAAUUUCACGGACUAUUCGUGUCCUAUGUCAUGUCACAAAGUGCAGCAAACAGUGUACAUACACAAAUUACCGACUAACUACUUCCGCCCCCACUUGCUUCACACUUUUUCGCAGAGUAUCUGAAGAAAAGAUUAUCAUUCUACGUCUGCACGGUGAUAUCUUUAAAGAAAUCGUAUUUGUUUUGUGUUUGACAUAAUAUACACGUAUCCUUGUGACUCACUUAACGCGUAUGGAGAACACAGGAUAGAGCCAAACCAGUGACAAUCUAUUACACAUGAAAUUAUAAAUUCUCACGGAUUAAAAAUUCGAACGUUUAAAAAUUUUUAAUACGUUUCUAGUUAAGUCUUGUGUUUUAUUAAUAAUGGCGACAAGUCAACUUUUCUUUUAACGUAGAUGAAGAUAAUACAAUUUGGGCCCCUCGAUGACGCGCCAACAUGAGUCGUCCCUGGCCCAUAAGUACUCAACUAACAAAAAUGGCGGACUGAAGUUGUAUAUCUAACGACAGUUACUGUAUCAAGUAACACGUGUACUCCAUUGUCCGAAUCAAUGGAUGUCGAUAUUAUUAUUUAAUAGAUAAGAAUUAACGUCGGUUUUUCAUUUAUAGUAUACUGAAAAGAUAUAUAUAAUACAGUAAAUGUACAAUUCGUAUGUCGUAUUACCAACAUAUAAAAAGUCAAAAUUUUUGAUAAAAAAACAAAUGAAUGUGAAAUCCAAUAUGUAUAUGCACAACACAAAUAGUUUCAAUGAACAACCACAUUAAAUGACAGUAAAAUGAAUACAAUUUCUACUAUGAAAACUUAUGUUCAGAAAGGCGGGAUUCUCGGUAGACUAGUCUAUUGAACGAGUACAGCCGAACGUAGGCCCCGACAUGCGUCCUCACGAAAAUCAACGAUUGCACACGACGUUGUCCAAUAUGGCGUCAUGAUUUGCCCCAGCUAAACUAAUUUCCAAUAAAUUAAAGUAAAUAAAUUCGGAUAUAUAAUGUCCUCAUGUUAGAAACGCUCGCGUCAGCAAUAAAGCUUUGAAUAAUAAUCUUAUCUUUUACUUCUAUACUGAUUCGAUACUUGAAAUCACAAAAAGGUCACACUUACUGUUUCCCCCACUUCUGUUCUUUCCUUCCACUACUUAAUACUUCACACUGCUAAUAUUAUUUGCAGUACAGUAAAAAUAUGAAUACUUUUUUCUCACUAUUAACAGUUCUACUGUCCAUUUGUUUUUCUUAGUUACAACAAAGAAUGGGAUGCAAAAGUUAAUACAAGUUCCGUUUGCAUUAUCAAAUACCUUUUUGUAAGAGUGUAUUUUUCCUUUAUUGUGCAAGAAUUUCGAAAAUUUUUAUCUAUUACUCAAUGUAAUAUUUAAAUGUUAAUAAUUGUUUUCUAAACAAAUUGUACACGAAAAGUAGAAGUAAAUGUUUUCAAAGAUUAUUUUCUAAGUUGCAAGUAUUUAUAUUGAACGUUUGAUAAGUAACCCCACCCCUUUUCUUUCUGCGCCAACUAGCAAGGUCAACAUGCGUCACAAUCGUAAUAUAACGCGUUUCUUUACUGAGUGGGAGACUCAUAAAACUUACGAUGCUACUCAUUACUUAAAAUUUAUAAUAUAAAAAAUUCAUUCUACCAAUCAAUUUAUCGUAUAUCAUACCACGUAUGUUUUAUUUAUAAUUACGAAAAAAUAUUAUUUUGCUAUGUAGUUCAAAUUAAUACAGUUAUAAAAUUUAAGAAUCAUAAGUCCAAGUCAUUAUUUCCAAAUGAGAAUCCUAAUUUGGCUGUUAUUACCAAAAUACAACACAAAAAGCAUUUAACUAGACUUUCUUUAUUAUAUUAUAUUGUUCGAAAUAUGUAAUACUUGAUUAUACACCUAACUGAGCAACAAUAAUGCAAUUAACAUACGUAUGUAUGAAUGUGUAUAUGUAUUUAUAGCAAAGACCAUAGUAUGUAUGUGUUACGUAUCCAAACGUUCCACCGUUAGUGUUUUACACAUGCGCGGUGAAUUAUGCUUAUGCGGAAUGUACUGCUUGCGAAGCUCAAAAACUAUCUAUUAUAUAUUUUCAUUUCAAUUGCAAAAGUAGUAAUUUCUAGAAACAGUUUAAGAUAAAUUCGUUAAUAAAAAUCAUUUAUAUCUUUCACAA
Long non-coding RNA from Megalopta genalis, 2211 nucleotides. RefSeq lists it as uncharacterized. NCBI's taxonomy places the organism in Eukaryota, Metazoa, Arthropoda, Insecta, Hymenoptera, Halictidae. The record is from RefSeq and is a predicted model, not a curated record.